CUUGAGCACGUAGGUGGGUUUGUAAGUCAGAUGUGAAAGCCUUCUGUUCAACGGAAGAAUUGCAUCUGAAACUACAAGUCUUGAGUGUAGGAGGGGAGAAUGGAACUUCUGGUGGAGCGGUGAAAUCCGUAGAUAUCAGAAGGAACGCCGGCGGCGAAAGCGAUUCUCUGGCCUAUUACUGACACUCAGUGUGCGAAAGCUAGGGGAGCAAACGGGAUUAGAUACCCCGGUAGUCCUAGCCGUAAACGAUGGGCACUAAGUAGAGGGGAUUACCGACGUUCUCUCUGCCGUAGCUAACGCAUUAAGUGCCCCGCCUGGGGAGUACGGCCGCAAGGCUAAAACUCAAAAGAAUUGACGGGGGCUCGCACAAGCGGUGGAGCAUGUGGCUUAAUUCGAUGCAACGCGAAGAACCUUACCGGGGCUUGACAUGGUAGAAGUAGGAACCCGAAAGGGUAACGAACGGUAUCCAGUCCGUGACUAUCACAGGUGUUGCAUGGCUGUCGUCAGCUCGUGUCGUGAGACGUUGGGUUAAGUCCCCUAACGAGCGAAACCCUUGUUUUUAGUUACCAGCGGGUUAUGCCGGGUACUCUAGAAAGACUGCCGUCGUCAAGACGGAGGAAGGUGGGGAUGACGUCAAGUCAUCAUGGCCCUUAUGCCCCGGGCUGCACACGUGCUACAAUGGUCGGUACAAACGGAAGCGAAGCCGAGAGGUGAAGCGAAUCCAAGC
RNAcentral lists this ribosomal RNA (727 nucleotides) under uncultured Planctomycetota bacterium. RNAcentral's name for it is "bacterial SSU rRNA". It matches the Rfam family "Bacterial small subunit ribosomal RNA", at positions 562 to 1278 of the family's 1533-position model. The record is from RNAcentral. Lineage: Bacteria; Pseudomonadati; Planctomycetota.